RNAcentral lists this ribosomal RNA (509 nucleotides) under uncultured bacterium. RNAcentral's name for it is "partial 16S ribosomal RNA". It matches the Rfam family "Bacterial small subunit ribosomal RNA", at positions 28 to 507 of the family's 1533-position model. The record is from RNAcentral.
GACGAACGCUGGCGGCGUGCUUAACACAUGCAAGUCGAACGAAGAGCGAUGGAAGCUUGCUUCUAUCAAUCUUAGUGGCGAACGGGUGAGUAACGCGUAAUCAACCUGCCCUUCAGAGGGGGACAACAGUUGGAAACGACUGCUAAUACCGCAUACGAUCUAAACUCGGCAUCGAGGAUAGAUGAAAGGUGGCCUCUACAUGUAAGCUAUCACUGAAGGAGGGGAUUGCGUCUGAUUAGCUAGUUGGAGGGGUAACGGCCCACCAAGGCGAUGAUCAGUAGCCGGUCUGAGAGGAUGAACGGCCACAUUGGGACUGAGACACGGCCCAGACUCCUACGGGAGGCAGCAGUGGGGAAUCUUCCGCAAUGGACGAAAGUCUGACGGAGCAACGCCGCGUGAGUGAUGACGGCCUUCGGGUUGUAAGCUCUGUUAAUCGGGACGAAAGGCCUUCUUGCGAAUAGUGAGAAGGAUUGACGGUACCGGAAUAGAAAGCCACGGCUAACUACGUG